AUGUCCAUCAGGGUGACCCAGAAGUCCUACAAGGUGUCCAUCUCUGGUCCCCAGGUUUUCAGCAGCUACUCCUACAUGUGUGGGCCUGGAACAACUCCUUGAACUUCUCCUGAAUGGGUAGUAGCAGCAGCUUCUAGGGUGGGCAGGGAACUGGCAUGGGUCUGGGUGGAGACUAUGGUGGGGCCAGUGAUAUGGGGGGUAUCAUAGCCAUCAUGGUGAACCAGAGCCUACUGAGCCCCCUUAAGCCAAAGGUGGACUCCAACAUCCAGGUCACAUACACCCAGGAGAAGGGGCAGAUCAACACCCUCAACAAGUUUACCUCCUUCAUCGACAAGGUAUACUGCUGGAGCAGCAGCAGAAGAUGCUGAAGACCAGUGGAGCCUCCUGUAGCAGCAGAAGACAGCCCAGAGCAACAUGGACAACAUGCUUGAGAGCUACAUCAACAACCUUUGGAGGCAGUGGGACACUCUGGGCCAGGAGAAGCUGAAGCUGGAGACAGAGCUUGGCAACAUGCAGGGGCUGCUGAAGGACUUGAAUAAUAAGUACGAGGGUGACAUCAGUAAACAUACAGAGGUUUAGAAUGAAUUUGUCCUCAUCAAGAAGGAUGUGGAAUGAAACUUGCAUAAACAAGGUAGAGCUAGAAUCUCUCCUGGAAGGGCUGACUGAUGAGAUCAAGUUUCUCAGGCAGGCAGAUGUAUAAAGAGGUUUUCUGUGAGCUGCAUUCCCAGAUCUCAUACACAUCUGUGGUCCUGUCUAUGGACAACAGCCACUCCCUGGAAAUGGACAGCAUCAUUGCUGAGGUCAAGACCCAGUAUGAGGAGAUUGCCAACCAUAGCCUGGCCAAGGCUGAGCGCAUGUACCAGAUCAAGCAUGAGGAGCUGCAGAUGCUGGCUGAGAAGCAUGGGGAUGAGCUGUGUCACACAAAGAUGGACAUCGCUGAGAUGAGCUGUAACAUAGUGGGCUCCAGGCUGAGACUGAGGGCCUCAAAGGCCAGGGGGCUUCCCUGGAAGCUGUCGUCAUGGAGGCCAAGCAGCAUGGGGAGCUGGCUGUUAAGGCCACCAAGCUGUUGGAGCUGGAGGCCAUCCUGCAGUGAGCCAAGCAGGACAUGGCACACAGCUGCAUGAAUACCAGGGGCUGAUGAAUGUCAUGCUGGCCCUGGACAUUGAGAUCGCCACCUACAGGAAGCUGCUGGAGGGAGAGGAGAGCCAGCUGGAGUCUGGGAUGCAGAACAUGAGUAUCCAUACGAAGAUCACCAGUGUCUGCUCAGGUAGGCUGAACUUGGUCUACAGAGGCCUCACAAGCCCUGGCCUUAGCUAUGGCCUGGGCUCCAGCUUUGGCUCUGGCACAGGCUCCUGCUUCUUCAGGAGUACCAGCUCCUCUAGGGCUGUGGUUGUGAAGAAGAUUGAGACCCACGGUGGGAAACUGGCUCUGAGUCGUCUGAUCUCCUGCCCAAG
Molecule: long non-coding RNA, 1454 nt
Filed under: Homo sapiens (human)
Lineage: Eukaryota; Metazoa; Chordata; Mammalia; Primates; Hominidae
Description: non-protein coding lnc-NBN-6:1
Source: RNAcentral